Molecule: ribosomal RNA, 537 nt
Filed under: uncultured bacterium
Lineage: Bacteria
Description: partial 16S ribosomal RNA
Rfam family: Bacterial small subunit ribosomal RNA
Source: RNAcentral
UGGGGAAUUUUGGACAAUGGGCGAAAGCCUGAUCCAGCAAUGCCGCGUGUGUGAAGAAGGCCUUCGGGUUGUAAAGCACUUUUGUCCGGAAAGAAAUCCUUGGCUCUAAUACAGUCGGGGGAUGACGGUACCGGAAGAAUAAGCACCGGCUAACUACGUGCCAGCAGCCGCGGUAAUACGUAGGGUGCAAGCGUUAAUCGGAAUUACUGGGCGUAAAGCGUGCGCAGGCGGUUUGCUAAGACCGAUGUGAAAUCCCCGGGCUCAACCUGGGAACUGCAUUGGUGACUGGCAGGCUAGAGUAUGGCAGAGGGGGGUAGAAUUCCACGUGUAGCAGUGAAAUGCGUAGAGAUGUGGAGGAAUACCGAUGGCGAAGGCAGCCCCCUGGGCCAAUACUGACGCUCAUGCACGAAAGCGUGGGGGAGCAAAACAGGAUUAGAUACCCUGGUGGUCCACGCCCUAAACGAUGUCAACUAGUUGUUGGGGAUUCAUUUCCUUAGUAACGUAGCUAACGCGUGAAGUCGACCGCCUGGGGAGUAC